Molecule: small RNA, 540 nt
Filed under: Pan troglodytes (chimpanzee)
Lineage: Eukaryota; Metazoa; Chordata; Mammalia; Primates; Hominidae
Description: processed transcript
Source: RNAcentral
CCCGGCGCUUGAGAGGACGCGGGGCUGCGCAAAUGGCUUGUCCCGCUCUCGGUUUGGAAGCUCUUCAGCCCCUGCAGCCCGAGCCGCCCCCCGAGCCCGCCUUCUCCGAGGCGCAGAAGUGGAUUGAGCAAGUAACUGGCAGAAGUUUUGGUGAUAAAGAUUUUCGGACAGGUUUAGAAAAUGGAAUCCUCCUCUGCGAGACAAUAUUAUCUUAUUCUUGAGAGGUUGUAAAGAGCUCGGCCUUAAAGAAUCUCAACUUUUUGACCCGAGUGACCUCCAGGAUACAUCCAACAGAGUAACAGUCAAGAGCCUUGAUUAUAGUAGGAAGCUGAAAAAUGUAUUAGUUACCAUUUACUGGCUGGGAAAAGCAGCAAACAGCUGCACAUCCUACAGCGGAACGACACUAAACCUGAAGGAGUUUGAAGGAUUGUUGGCUCAGAUGCGAAAGGAGACUGAUGACAUUGAAAGUCCUAAACGCAGUAUCCGAGACAGUGGCUACAUCGACUGCUGGGAUUCCGAGCGCAGCGACUCCCUCUCUCC